CGACUCGGGGCCACCUUCACUUCCUGCCUCCCAGAGGCCUCCGCGCCGCCUGCUCCGGGCCUGGGGCUGAGCCUCCCCCUCUCCGCGCCUCGCUUUCCAGUAUCCAGUGUGAACCCCGCCCCCGCCCCGCCUUCAUUGCGCCUCACCUACGGAGGCCCCGCCUCCGCCCCGCCCCUCUGGCUCCGAGGGCCCGCACUGCCUGGGUUCCCCCGCCCAGUUGAGGGCGCUCCGGUCUCCGGCGGUUCUGGAGGAAAGAAAAGGCUCCCGCGGCCUCGGGCGUCCCGAGUUCCAGGCUCUGUUUGGGCCUAAGACAGUGCGGGGGGGUGGAGGGGGAGGGCGCAGAUUCUCCCCCCUCCCGCCCAAGGAAAUGUGGGCGUGGCCAGGCUCCCUUCCCCGCCUCUGACCCAAGAUGCGCAGCGAAGGGACUCCCUCCUGCCUGCUGGGCCAUUUCUGUCCCCGCAGCCCGGCUCUCCUCUCGGCUUGGGGAGCGAUUCCUCGGCCCUGGCACUGCCCCAGGCGCCGCCCCCUGUGAAAACUGCCCGGCUGCGGCCUGUUCAGGUGGUGACGCAAAUCGAAGGAGAUCCGGGAACGCGGAGCCACCCCGAGAGGAGCCGAGCUUUGCCCCGCAGGACUCCAAGUCCCGGCGUCCCUUGCUCCUCCUCGACUUGUUCCCUUUAUUUCUUCUACUCAAGUGAUUAUUACUGAAUCUCGUGGGUUGGAAUGCUGGGAGUUGGCGGAUAGGAAUUGUCAUCUUCCCUGCCUCAGUUUACCUCUUCUGUGCACAUCAGCCAAAGGACCAAAAUGAUUGUAUCGAACUAAGAAGAACGACAACAAAAUUCAUCUGGAAGAACAAGAGCUCAAGAACGUUCAGGGAAUUAGUGAAGAAAAUGUGCCCGAAGGACGGUGGCCCAGCAGGGCCAGACCUUACACUCUACUGUGAGGCAGGAGUGAAGAGCAGCUCCUAGCCGAGAAAGAGAAGGGAGAAUCCAUGGAACCGAGCAGGGGCCAGUGAGCUCCGCACUCUAGUGUUGGCUCCAGCCGAAGGGCCCAGCUUGUGGGAGAAGAACUCAGUGCUGGAAAACAGCCAGCAGAAGCGAUGCUAGGCAACACCUCAUCUCCACCAAGAUGAGGCCAGAGCAGAGGCGGCUGGCCGGGGCUCAGCACCCCCAGAAACUCGAUCAGGGCAACCCCUCUGCUCCCAACCCAGAUCUCGGCCCCCUUCGACUGGCCCGUGGAUAUGAGCUGGCCCAGCCUCCAGGACAAGCUCCUCUCCAAUCCUUGGCCCAGAGUCACGGAAAAGAAUGGAAACCCCCCAGAACGGAGGCAUUGGGGGCACCCUUCCAGGCUGCUCCCCUCGUGCUGUCUUGCUGGCCGGGAAUUCAACAUCACUCCUAAAUCGCUCUUUUUCCUCUUCAGUUCAGAAUCUUACCACUGGGAUUUGCAACAUUUCUCAGCACAAGCCAAAAGGAACUUAGCAGAAAGGAAAGAAUAUCCUUUAGAAACAGGAAGUAUAAAACCCCAAACAGAAUCAUGUGAGAGGCAAAUAGUAGAGGUUUCAUCUAAAGGUUCUAAGCAAACUGCAAAUGACUGGAUUGAAGCACAGGAGCAAACAAGAGAAAGGUCCAAUGGGGAGGCAAAUGCAAUAAGAGAGAACAUUCAAAUGAGCAGACCUCCUGGAGACAACGUCAAUUGGUAUUUAAUUGGAGUAAUGCCUCCCUCUCUCUCUUCCAUUCCAUUGCAAUGAUGUAGUAAGAAAGCUAAGGGAGGGGAAUCUGAAUUGACUAAUCAGCCAUGGGCAUGUGGUUAUUAGUGUGUAUUUUCUUUAUUCCUUGAUUUCUAAUAAUAAUCCUUAAUAAACCUCAUAACAUAAUAUUUUUAUUACUA
Non-coding RNA from Monodelphis domestica (gray short-tailed opossum), 1884 nucleotides. Lineage: Eukaryota; Metazoa; Chordata; Mammalia; Didelphimorphia; Didelphidae. The record is from RefSeq and is a predicted model, not a curated record.